GCAGGAGGGUGCUGGGGAAGUUCAGGCUGUCCCCAGAAGUCAGCUUAUACGACCUUCAUGCUGGACUACACAUGUCAUCUCCCGGAGCAGCAGGCGGUGGCUGGGACGGCAGCACAGAGAGACAGCCCGGCACAGGCUCCGCUCAGAGCCUCAGGAUGUGGGGAGGCUUCUACAGAUGACCAGCUUGGUGGCGUCAUCGUCCCCACCUGGAGGAAGGAGACCUUAUCUGGAACCAGGAGGCGUGUCUGUAAGAAACUCUUAUGAAGUUGUCGGGGUUCAAGUUGGCCUUCCUGUUGUUCACCUGGUGGAGAAUGUUCCUGUGGGCCUUGGCAGCAAGUCAGCAUUCUUCGUUGGCAUGGAUGGAGUCGUAGGAAAAAGAGGCUCUCCACCCUGAAGUCAGUUGCAUAUCACCCCAAUAAACAGUUACAUUGCCUCUGCCAACACAGGAUCCCAAA
Molecule: long non-coding RNA, 455 nt
Filed under: Pan troglodytes (chimpanzee)
Lineage: Eukaryota; Metazoa; Chordata; Mammalia; Primates; Hominidae
Description: lincRNA
Source: RNAcentral